RNAcentral lists this ribosomal RNA (439 nucleotides) under Berghia creutzbergi. Its description in RNAcentral is "Spurilla creutzbergi partial 16S ribosomal RNA". It matches the Rfam family "Bacterial large subunit ribosomal RNA", at positions 1829 to 2597 of the family's 2925-position model. Lineage: Eukaryota; Metazoa; Mollusca; Gastropoda; Nudibranchia; Aeolidiidae. The record is from RNAcentral.
AGCCAUUAGAUGAUAUUAUAUGGUUUUACCUGCCCAGUGUUAGAAAUAAUAAAUGGCCGCGGUACCCUGACCGUGCUAAGGUAGCGUAAUCAUUUGACCUUUAAAUGAGGUCAGGUAUGAAUGGAUAAACCGGGUCUGGCUGUCUCUCUUCUAUUUUUUUGAAUUUACUAUCUAAGUGAAAAAGCUUAGUAAUUGAAAAGGGACGAGAAGACCCUUAGAAUUUUCUCUAAAGACUAUGUGUAGUUUACGAUUUUAUUGGGGCGAUAAAGAAAUAAUUUUUAACUUUCUAUAUUUAACAAGCCGAUUGUAUUAAGCAAGAAUAAAUUACCUGAGGGAUAACAGCAUAAUUCUAUAAUUGGGUUUGUGACCUCGAUGUUGGACUAGGAAACUAGUAGGCUAGCCGUUUACUAUGUUAGGUUCUGUUCGAACUUUAAUUCCU